UGCAAGGGGUUUCCCUUCUGACAUUCCAGGGGUGGUACAGUAGGGGACUACAUGAGGAACUGAACAACACAGACAUUUCUCCCACCAUGCACUGCUGCAUGAGAGGGAUACUCCUACUAGAAUAUACAGCUAGGUGGAAUAUCCCUCCGUGCAGCAGAACUUACAUUUUACAAUAAAAUACAUAACUUCUAUAAUAUUCCCUUUAUUUAAACAAAUUGAUGUUCGGUAGAUAGCUGGGGUCUGAGCGCACAAUUCGUGAGAAUACCGCUCAGAUCCCAGCCUAACUUACCGAACGCCGCACGAAAACACACAUUAUUCUCAAAUCACCUUUAAAGUACCGAUUGGUAUUAGGGGAACAAACUGCCGAACGGCCUGGAAGUCCAGCAGUGUUCGCGCCGUCGAGUAGCCGAUUUUAGUUCCAGGCGCUUGACGACCAAACACCGCUGGGCUAACAAAGGAACCAAGAUGGCCGACCGCUGCGUGGUCGGUAGCGAACGACGGCCACCUAGGGAAACCUUUAACUACCGAUUGCAACAAUGUU
Molecule: non-coding RNA, 541 nt
Organism: Pelobates cultripes (western spadefoot toad)
Lineage: Eukaryota; Metazoa; Chordata; Amphibia; Anura; Pelobatidae
Source: the annotation of a GenBank genome assembly